Molecule: non-coding RNA, 106 nt
Organism: Acanthosepion pharaonis
Lineage: Eukaryota; Metazoa; Mollusca; Cephalopoda; Sepiida; Sepiidae
Source: the annotation of a GenBank genome assembly
UUACGGUCACAUCACGUUUAAACACCGGUUCUCAUACGAUCAUCGAAGUUAAGCAACAUCAAGCCUGGUCAGUACCUAAUUGGGUGAUUGCUUAGGAAUACCAAGU